This 205-nucleotide ribosomal RNA is filed under the name uncultured bacterium. RNAcentral describes it as "partial 16S ribosomal RNA". It matches the Rfam family "Bacterial small subunit ribosomal RNA", at positions 568 to 773 of the family's 1533-position model. The record is from RNAcentral.
UCCGUAGGCGGGCCUGUAAGUCAGGGGUGAAAGCUUGUGGCUCAACCAUAAAAUUGCCUUUGAUACUGCAGGUCUUGAGUCAUGGUGGGUUGCCGGAACAUGUGGUGUAGCGGUGAAAUGCAUAGGUAUCACAUAGAACACCGAUCGCGAAGGCAGGUGACCAACCAUGUACUGACGCUGAUGGACGAAAGCGUGGGUAGCGAAC